RNAcentral lists this ribosomal RNA (375 nucleotides) under uncultured bacterium. Its description in RNAcentral is "bacterial SSU rRNA". It matches the Rfam family "Bacterial small subunit ribosomal RNA", at positions 523 to 898 of the family's 1533-position model. The record is from RNAcentral.
ACACGUAGGGGGCGAGCGUUGCCCGGAAUCACUGGGCGUAAAGGGUGCGUAGGCGGGCUGCUAAGUCCUGGGUGAAAGCCCCCGGCUCAACCGGGGAAGGGCUCAGGAGACUGGCGGUCUUGGGGGCCGGAGAGGGUAGUGGAAUUCCCGGUGUAGCGGUGAAAUGCGUAGAGAUCGGGAGGAACACCAGUGGCGAAGGCGGCUACCUGGACGGUUCCUGACGCUGAGGCACGAAAGCUGGGGGAGCAAACAGGAUUAGAUACCCUGGUAGUCCCAGCCGUAAACGAUGGGUGCUAGGUGUGGGGGGUGUAGGCCUCCCGUGCCGCAGCUAACGCAUUAAGCACCCCGCCUGGGGAGUACGGCCGCAAGGUUGAA